RNAcentral lists this ribosomal RNA (705 nucleotides) under uncultured bacterium. RNAcentral describes it as "bacterial SSU rRNA". It matches the Rfam family "Bacterial small subunit ribosomal RNA", at positions 771 to 1501 of the family's 1533-position model. The record is from RNAcentral.
AACAGGAUUAGAUACCCUGGUAGUCCACGCCGUAAACUAUGGAUGCUAGCUGUUAGAGGUAUCGACCCCUCUAGUAGCGAAGCUAACGCGUUAAGCAUCCCGCCUGUGGAGUACGGUCGCAAGACUAAAACAUAAAGGAAUUGACGGGGACCCGCACAAGCGGUGGAGCGUGUUGUUUAAUUCGAUGGUAAGCGAAGAACCUUACCCAGGCUUGACAUCCUUGGAAUUUCUCCGAAAGGAGAGAGUGCUUUAUUGAGCCAAGUGACAGGUGAUGCAUGGCCGUCGUCAGCUCGUGUCGUGAGAUGUUUGGUUAAGUCCAUCAACGAGCGCAACCCUUGUGAUUAGUUGAAUUUUUCUAAUCAGACUGCCCUGGUAACAGGGAGGAAGGGGGGGAUGAUGUCAGGUCAGUAUUUCCCUUACGUCUGGGGCUACAAACACGCUACAAUGGCCGGUACAAAGGGCUGCCAAGUCGCGAGACGGAGCAAAUCCCAUCAAAGCCGGUCUCAGUUCGGAUAGCAGGCUGAAACUCGCCUGCUUGAAGCUGGAAUCGCUAGUAACGGUAGGUCAGCACACUACCGUGAAUACGUUCCCGGGUCUUGUACACACCGCCCGUCAAACCAUGAAAGUCGCCAAUACCUGACGUGUUGCCUCCGCGCAGCCCUAAGGUAGGGGAGAUGAUUGGGGUUAAGUCGUAACAAGGUAACC